GUUUUGAUCUAACGUCGCAAUAAAUGACUCGCCUUCCUGUUUUACCUACGCAGCUAAUCUAUUGGCAUUAGUAGCAGCUAAUGAGCGAGUGAUAAAGUACAUCGUAAUCAAGAGAUAAGUAUUUUCAGAUUUUGCACUAUCAAAUAAAUGGAAUGUGUAAUUGCUGGGGGCGCCACCUGUCGGUAAUCGGAUCAAACGCAAUUCGCCUGAAGAAAACGCACGACGGUCAGCGGAGUGUGAUUGUUUUUUGUUUGUACGUGAUUUUAUUUAUUAAUUAAAUUUAGUCUAAUACGAAUGAGCAAUUUUAAUUGAAAAAAUAAGCGACCUCCGAGGUACCUACUCAAAUAUAGGAAAAUGCCAUUUAGACAACGCAAAAUAGCCGUCAUGGGCUACAGAUCAGUAGGAAAAUCGUCUUUAAGUAUACAAUUUGUAGAAGGACAGUUUGUUGAUUCGUAUGAUCCCACAAUCGAAAAUACGUUCACAAAAUCCACAAGAAUCAAUUCUCAAGAUUAUGAGAUACAGUUAGUAGAUACUGCUGGACAAGAUGAAUAUUCUAUAUUUCCAUCACAGUAUAGUAUAGACGUGCAUGGUUAUGUUCUUGUGUAUAGUAUAACUAGCGAAAAAUCAUUUGACGUUAUCAAGAUAAUAUAUGACAAGCUAUUGGAUAUAACUGGAAAAGUACAUGUUCCAUUAGUUUUAGUUGGUAAUAAGACUGAUCUACAUAUGGAAAGGAUGAUUUCCUAUGAGGAAGGUAGAAAACUCGCAGAGGGAUGGAAUGCGAUAUUUUUGGAGGCAUCUGCCAAGCAAAAUACAACAAUUAUUUAUUAACAUAUGCACACCUGACAAAUGGACGGACACACAUGCUGCACCUGGUUUUCAACGUCGACCCAACACAACAGGAAGAAAUAAAUAAACAUUAAAUGUAUACAGUCUGUGUCUGAUAUAUUCCACACAUUACUAAUGGAAAUAGAAAAAGCAGACACAAAAAUGAACGAAAAAUCAAAUUGUUCAAUAUCAUAAGACGGAAGGAAGUACAAUAACUCUUAGGUACCUAAUGUUUUUCAAUAAGAAGUUAUAAAGUUUAAUAUAUGUAUAGUUCAGUAUGCAGCCGUGACAUGUGUAUCGUUAAUUACACUCUUAAUUUAUGUAGGUUACGGAAAAGUAUUUAUAAUUUAUCUUGCCUUAAUGGUUAGAUUUAUGUUAAAUGGCAAUCCAGUAAUGUACAGGUUCCUAGUUAGUUCCUUCGAUACAAAAUUUGUAAAUAUAGUAGGAAUCUAUAAAUUACUACAGGCCAAUAUAGUGAACCGUGUUUCUGCGGAACAUUAAAUAUAUUUUUGUAUAUUGUGUAACACAUUGGUCAUUUAACAUUUGUCAAAGAUGUGUUCUAAAUUUCAAUUGCAGUCGUCUAUAAUAGACCGUAGUAGUUGUGAUUUAUUAAUUGCUUUUAGUAAUAGUCUUAGUAAUUGGAAAUGAUUGCCGAAGUAUUUGUUGGUAAUUAUAUUAGUCUGUGUGAAGGAGAGCGACUAGCAAAAUAACAAAUACCUCAAUAAUGUUACUAUCACAACAUUGCAUAAAAGUCACUUUACAUAAGUACCAAAUCAGCUAUUUAAAAUAAAAUACUCACAGCACAGUACACUUAAUUAGCUAUUUAUUUAUUGUUAAAAAAAUAAGUUGAUAAAAGUGACUGUUGAAUACAUCACCGAAGUGUUGUGAUGGCAAUGUUUAACAUUCUUUCAUUGCUAUUUAGCUAGGCUAGUGAUAGACUUAAGUGAUAAUAAUAUUAUACUGUGUUGUAGCUCUUUUGGCUGUAGCACUGCUUAAUUUGUUUGUUAAGUGUUUUCUAAUGUAAUAGUUUAUUAUUUAAGUAAGCAUAACUGAAUUAACUUUUUGCAUAUCAAUUAUACAAUAAUAGUUCUUUGUAUCAACUUAAUUUUCGACAUUGGUACACUACUUAAAAUUCAAUUGCAAUUAUUUGUUGAAAAGUUUAAUAGUUUAUGUAUUAACAAAAAUAUGUAAUAGUAUAUCUGUUAAUUAAAGUUUGUUUGAAUAUGUA
RNA transcript from Photinus pyralis (common eastern firefly), 2053 nucleotides. It is a transcript of the gene named GTP-binding protein Rheb homolog, with no coding region annotated. NCBI's taxonomy places the organism in Eukaryota, Metazoa, Arthropoda, Insecta, Coleoptera, Lampyridae. The transcript is spliced from 6 exons. The record is from RefSeq and is a predicted model, not a curated record.